ACUUGGAGGCAACAACCAGAAUGAAAUAUUAUUUAAUCGUGGAAAUGCCAUGUCAGGCGCAGCUAUCAGAAUCGGAACACACCAAUUACCAAAUCCACCUAUCAUCGCCGGCAUAACUAUAAAAAAUAUCAUUAAAAAGCGUGAUCCGUUAUUAAAACAUUAUAAAGUUGAUUAUUCCCAGUUUCCCACCAAGAAUUUGAUCGUCGGGUCGUGCUAAUUCCAUACGAAUCAGUACUGAGAAGCAUGUGCCCAUCACUCCAGCAAUGGCACCGAAGAUGAAAUAAAGAGUCCCUAUAUCCUUGUGGUUAGUGGAGAACAGCCAUCGGACCGGAUUUGUCGUAAAAUUGAGAUUAUUUCGUUUCCUUCCUUAUCAGAGAGGGGCCCGCGGGGCUUAUUUAUUGAAAAAGGGGGAGUGAGGGGGGGGGAAGGAAGAAUGGAAAGCCCUCACUUUAUUGAUGGGACAUUUUGAUCCCCUUUUCCUCUCAUCCUCCCCUAC
RNAcentral lists this long non-coding RNA (496 nucleotides) under Nicotiana benthamiana. RNAcentral's name for it is "long non-coding RNA (NBEN_LNC030577)". Lineage: Eukaryota; Viridiplantae; Streptophyta; Magnoliopsida; Solanales; Solanaceae. The record is from RNAcentral.